This 345-nucleotide ribosomal RNA is filed under the name uncultured maize rhizosphere bacterium c14_68. RNAcentral describes it as "bacterial SSU rRNA". It matches the Rfam family "Bacterial small subunit ribosomal RNA", at positions 975 to 1320 of the family's 1533-position model. The record is from RNAcentral.
CAGCGUUUGACAUGUCCGGACGAUUUCCAGAGAUGGAUCUCUUCCCUUCGGGGACUGGAACACAGGUGCUGCAUGGCUGUCGUCAGCUCGUGUCGUGAGAUGUUGGGUUAAGUCCCGCAACGAGCGCAACCCUCGCCUUUAGUUACCAUCAUUUAGUUGGGUACUCUAAAGGAACCGCCGGUGAUAAGCCGGAGGAAGGUGGGGAUGACGUCAAGUCCUCAUGGCCCUUACGCGCUGGGCUACACACGUGCUACAAUGGCGACUACAGUGGGCUGCAAACUCGCGAGGGUGAGCUAAUCUCCAAAAGUCGUCUCAGUUCGGAUUGUACUCUGCAACUCGAGUACA